This 419-nucleotide long non-coding RNA is filed under the name Salvia miltiorrhiza (redroot sage). RNAcentral describes it as "long non-coding RNA (SMIL_LNC002054)". Lineage: Eukaryota; Viridiplantae; Streptophyta; Magnoliopsida; Lamiales; Lamiaceae. The record is from RNAcentral.
UCACUUCGUCUCCAACUCGCAACUUCCACCUCUCUUUCCACACCAGUUGGCCGCUCCACGAGGACCAGGAAUUCGUGAGCUACGCCAUCAAUCACGGCGUUCAAUCCCUCCGCCUCCACUGCAAUAACCCACGCACCGAGCUCGAGCUCAGGCAGUUCAGCUGCGGGAUUUAUGUACCUGGACAGUUUCGUUUACCACUCUUGAAAACCUUUUAUCUUGACAGCUAUCUGCUCGUCCAUGGUGGUGAACUGUAUAGAUUUAGUUGAGCAAAGCCCUUGUCCAUUCCCCUACUUGAAAUGUCUGAAAUUGAUCAAACUUCCACGAGCGUAUUGAACUACUUGACAGUGGGAACUUGGUCGUCGAUGGUGUGGAUGUGGUUGAAGAGAAUUCGGAUGACCAAGACGACAGUGAUGAUCAAC